UUUCACUUUUAAUGAGCCAAUGUCUGAGAUUGUUUUUUCGGAUUUUUUUUACCCAAAAUUACCCCCAUCAAACUUAGAAUUCCAAAUCAGUCUUUGACUCUCUCGCUCUCUUCGAUGCCAUCGAUUAUCAGCGCCGAUCAUUGUUUAUCAUAUUCGCAGAUCAGUUUUGUUGCCACCGUCCAAUUGAAGUACCUUUGGCUAUAUCUACAGCUCACAGCUCCGAGCUCCGAUCACUGUUUCUCACCUAGGGCUCCAUUGAAGAACAUUUAGCUCUGUCUACAGCUCUUUCAUCCUCUUUUCUAGAAGCUAACACAACUUUUCUUAAGAGAGGAUGACUGAACUUGUACCUUAUGCGCGGUUUUCGGCAUGUUUUCGCUCUCUUCAAUUUGUGGUUAGUUAGACAUGCCACCAAGAUGGUGGACCUGAAUAUAGAUGAAGGCUACAAGAACUGUCUAUCUACCAACUAAACCUCAAUUAGUACUGUUUCAACUUUGCUUGAAGUUCAACAAACGUUGGAAUUUAAUCCUUAUAUCUAAGAUAGGUUAUCAUAAGAUGUAAAAUUUCACAUUUUCCAGAUUACAUAUGUAGAACCUGGUCAGAGCUCUGUUAUUGAAGCAAGAAAUAGUUCCGAUGUCAGAGUUCAAGCUCCUUGGUCCUCCUUGGCAGCGUCCCGUGAAUGGGUGUGAGUUCAAUUACUAGUUCAGUUCUUUUAUUUAUUUGAUUACCUCGUCAUUUCCCUACAACCACAAGGCCAAUUGACACUGAACUAUGAACUGCACUGUUUGUACAAGAGUUUUCUUGGGAAGGAAGGGGCAGAUAUUGUCAUCAUACUGGUCAUAAAGCAGCUUCUGCCUAAAUUUACGUUGGUUUUCAGACAAGAAGAUGCGGUUCAAUUUGCAAAGCUGCGGCAUGCCUAGUAAAGAGUCCUCUCUACUUAAGCUUUUGGCUUUCAAAUCAAUGUCAAAUUCAACAUUAUCAUUACAUUCGUCGUCUUUCAAGUUAUUCUAGGUUUAUAAUUCCUAUGAAAAAUGGAAAUCUGAAAGCAAAGGGCUGCUAGCUAGUAUAAUUCAAGCUGAGGGAACUAUAGAAUCAUUCAAGGAACUCUUGUCAAAGGAAUUGCCGGAUGCACAAGUACUAGAGCCUACUCCUGGUGUACCCCUAGAAAUCGAAGCACCUAAGAGGCCCUUUUUUCCCCUUUUUUUUUUUUUUUUUUGUCCGGAGUAUAUACAAUUAUAAUGUAAUCUAUGCAUUUGAGCUAUCUUUUUAUUUUCUUAUA
Molecule: long non-coding RNA, 1276 nt
Organism: Ziziphus jujuba (common jujube)
Lineage: Eukaryota; Viridiplantae; Streptophyta; Magnoliopsida; Rosales; Rhamnaceae
Exons: 4
Source: RefSeq, a predicted model, not a curated record